This 422-nucleotide long non-coding RNA is filed under the name Homo sapiens (human). RNAcentral describes it as "HSALNT0187277". The record is from RNAcentral. Lineage: Eukaryota; Metazoa; Chordata; Mammalia; Primates; Hominidae.
UCUGGUCAAUGUGUGGACUAAUGGCCUGGUCAAAACCCUUUGCCUAUAUUUGAGGCAACUUGAAGUCCCUUUCCAACUCAAGGGUUCUCUGCAAGAUCAAAUUCGUCCUGUGUAGCUCCUUCAUCACCUCUGCCCAACCCUGCUUCUCUCAUUUUCUUACAGGUAUUGGUUUUGAAAAUGCUCCCAAGGAAAGCUGCAUACAAAUAUCCAUCUCAGAGUCUAAUUCCAAGGAACCCAGUCCAGAUGGCUGCCUUCCAGAGUCUGGGUUCUCUGCCACUGUUUGAUAUGGCAGGCAGUCUAUUAGUCAAUGAGAAUGAAAUCAUGUUCUUGAAACCAGGAAUCCCGAGAGGACCCACAUAUCCUCUGAAAGAAGCCAACUGCUCCUGCAGGACCCGGGAGACACCCAAAAUACUGUAAGUGCC